GGUUCGGCCGGGGCCCGGGCUCCGGCCCCGGGCGGUGUGUGGGGAGCGAUCUGUGUGUGGGGGACGGCGUGGAGGGGUGGCCGCUGCGUGUGCGGUACUGUGGGGGCGGCGGGGCCGCUGGGCGCCCCUUCUCCGCCUCGUAACCUCGCCUCUGUGCUUCCCUGUCGCCCGCCCUGUUCCUCCUCCCGUCCCGCAGCUCCGUGCCCGGGACCCUGCCAGCAGAGGAGACAGGUAUAUGCUGGUCACUUUCGAAGAGCCGCCCUAUGCUAUCAAGGCUGGAUGGAAAGAAAACCAUGCAACGUUUAUGAAUGAAUUGAAAAACCUUCAGGCUGAAGGACUUACGACUCUUGGCCAAUCCCUAAGGACAGCUUUUGAUUUAUUAAAUUUAAAUAGAUUAGUAACUGGCAUAGACAACUAUGGGCAGGGAAGAAACCCUUUUUUCUUGGAGCCAGCAAUAAUUAUCACAAUUACUGAUGGGAGCAAGUUGACUACCACCAGUGGAGUCCAGGAUGAGGUACUGGGGACACACAGAUGGAAUUAAGCAAGGCUAGAAAACGUAUUAUCUUUGAAGACAGGCAAGUAAAUAAACAUUUGUAAUACAU
Molecule: long non-coding RNA, 602 nt
Filed under: Homo sapiens (human)
Lineage: Eukaryota; Metazoa; Chordata; Mammalia; Primates; Hominidae
Description: non-protein coding lnc-C13orf42-4:2
Source: RNAcentral